AUGCCUACUUUUUUUCAACCAUUUCCGGUAGUUCUGGGAUACGAGGAGGGAAUUGUUAGAGUGGACGUUCCUUUUAGAAGAGCAGGAUCCAAAUAUAGUGUUGAACAAGUAGGUGUGACGGCGGAGUUCUAUGGUAGCGAACUUAAUCAAGUAAGUUAUUCCGAUUCUGCUACUAUAAGAAAAUAUGUGAGGCAUUCUCAAUCAGUGGAAACUCUUGAAUUAGGCCGGGCUACUUUGAAAUCUAAUGGUGUUUUCGCAGCGGUCGAACAUGUUGGUUCACUAUUGGCCAUGCUACUUUUUCUUUGCUCUUCAUUUUCAAACACAUUUGUUGUGGCGCUAGAACAUUGUUCUGAGAUGUUUUUGCUAGUAUUGAUCCUGAUUUGGAUGCUCGAGUGGAAUAUGGAACAUUCCCAAAAGUAG
RNAcentral lists this ribosomal RNA (420 nucleotides) under Triticum aestivum (bread wheat). Its description in RNAcentral is "partial small subunit ribosomal RNA". The record is from RNAcentral. Lineage: Eukaryota; Viridiplantae; Streptophyta; Magnoliopsida; Poales; Poaceae.